CCUACGGGAGGCAGCAGUGGGGAAUAUUGGACAAUGGGGGGAACCCUGAUCCAGCCAUGCCGCGUGUGUGAAGAAGGCCCUCGGGUUGUAAAGCACUUUUAGUGAGGAAGAACGCCUGGUGGUUAAUACCCAUCAGGAAAGACAUCACUCACAGAAGAAGCACCGGCUAACUCCGUGCCAGCAGCCGCGGUAAUACGGAGGGUGCGAGCGUUAAUCGGAAUUACUGGGCGUAAAGCGCGCGUAGGUGGCUUGAUAAGCCGGUUGUGAAAGCCCCGGGCUCAACCUGGGAACGGCAUCCGGAACUGUCAAGCUAGAGUGCAGGAGAGGAAGGUAGAAUUCCCGGUGUAGCGGUGAAAUGCGUAGAGAUCGGGAGGAAUACCAGUGGCGAAGGCGGCCUUCUGGACUGACACUGACACUGAGGUGCGAAAGCGUGGGUAGCAAACAGGAUUAGAUACCCGUGUAGUC
Molecule: ribosomal RNA, 465 nt
Filed under: Vreelandella stevensii
Lineage: Bacteria; Pseudomonadati; Pseudomonadota; Gammaproteobacteria; Oceanospirillales; Halomonadaceae
Description: partial 16S ribosomal RNA
Rfam family: Bacterial small subunit ribosomal RNA
Source: RNAcentral